UACGGAGGGUGCAAGCGUUAUCCGGAUUCACUGGGUUUAAAGGGUGCGUAGGCGGGCAGGGAAGUCAGUGGUGAAAUCUCCGGGCUUAACUCGGAAACUGCCGUUGAUACUCUCUGUCUUGAAUCCCGUGGAGGUGAGCGGAAUAUGUCAUGUAGCGGUGAAAUGCUUAGAUAUGACAUAGAACACCAAUUGCGAAGGCAGCUCGCUACACGAAGAUUGACUCUGAGGCACGAAAGCGUGGGGAUCAAACAGG
Molecule: ribosomal RNA, 253 nt
Filed under: uncultured bacterium
Lineage: Bacteria
Description: partial 16S ribosomal RNA
Rfam family: Bacterial small subunit ribosomal RNA
Source: RNAcentral